UGAGCCUCGGGAGGCAGCAGUGGGGGAUAUUGUACAAUGGGGGGAACCCUGAUGCAGCGACGCCGCGUGGGUGAAGAAGCGCCUCGGCGCGUAAAGCCCUGUCAGCAGGGAAGAAAAUGACGGUACCUGAAGAAGAAGCCCCGGCUAACUACGUGCCAGCAGCCGCGGUAAUACGUAGGGGGCAAGCGUUAUCCGGAUUUACUGGGUGUAAAGGGGGCGCAGACGGCGAUGCAAGCCAGGAGUGAAAGCCCGGCGCCCAACCCCGGGACUGCUCUUGGAACUGCGUGGCUGGAUUGCAGGAGGGG
This 305-nucleotide ribosomal RNA is filed under the name uncultured bacterium. RNAcentral's name for it is "bacterial SSU rRNA". It matches the Rfam family "Bacterial small subunit ribosomal RNA", at positions 331 to 657 of the family's 1533-position model. The record is from RNAcentral.